Molecule: long non-coding RNA, 427 nt
Organism: Ailuropoda melanoleuca (giant panda)
Lineage: Eukaryota; Metazoa; Chordata; Mammalia; Carnivora; Ursidae
Exons: 3
Source: RefSeq, a predicted model, not a curated record
CGUGGCGGAUCGUGGUGGCGGGACGUUCUAAUGGGCCGUGGCGCCACCCCUAGAAGGGCGGGGCCUCUGCCUGCCUCCAGGGUGACCCGGAUGUACUGUCAUCGAAGACAAGGGCAUGCCGAGGGCAGUGGCAGAGAGCCAGAUUCCCAGGAUGAUGCCGGUAGCCCAGCGUGGGGUUCGGUGCAGCUGUGACCACACCGGGUGAAGAGUGAGAAGGUAACGGUCAACGCUGAUGGCCGAGAGGAAGAAAAUAGAGGCGAACAUCCCUGCUGACAAGGUGGCAUUGAAGACCUUGCACAUGGCAGUUCCAAAGCUCCAGUGAUUGUCCUGAAGCACCCACAGGUAGAGACCAUUGGUGAUGGUACCAAUUAUAACUGCCAUGCACAGCAGAAAGGCAAUGAUCACGUUUGAGGCAGGAACUGGAAAG